CAGUCGCCGCGGUAAUACGAAGGGGGCUAGCGUUGUUCGGAUUUACUGGGCGUAAAGCGCACGUAGGCGGAUCCUUAAGUCAGAGGUGAAAUCCCAAGGCUCAACCUUGGAACUGCCUUUGAUACUGGGGAUCUCGAGUUCGGGAGAGGUGAGUGGAACUGCGAGUGUAGAGGUGAAAUGCGUAGAUAUCGGAAGGAACACCUGUGGCGAAAGCGGCUCACUGGACCAUUUCUGACGCUGAUGCACGAAAGCUAGGGGAGCAAACAGGAUUAGAUACCCGAGUAGUCCCUGUCUCUUAUAC
RNAcentral lists this ribosomal RNA (301 nucleotides) under uncultured bacterium. RNAcentral describes it as "partial 16S ribosomal RNA". It matches the Rfam family "Bacterial small subunit ribosomal RNA", at positions 509 to 807 of the family's 1533-position model. The record is from RNAcentral.